RNA transcript from Galeopterus variegatus (Sunda flying lemur), 1329 nucleotides. It is a transcript of the gene named peroxisomal biogenesis factor 11 beta, with no coding region annotated. NCBI's taxonomy places the organism in Eukaryota, Metazoa, Chordata, Mammalia, Dermoptera, Cynocephalidae. The record is from RefSeq and is a predicted model, not a curated record. The transcript has 5 exons.
GAGCUGGGGCUGCCGCUGUCAUGGACGCCUGGGUCCGCUUCAGUGCUCAGAGCCAGGCCCGGGAGCGGCUGUGUAGGGCUGCCCAGUAUGCGUGCUCCCUUCUUGGCUAUGCACUGCAGAGACAUGGGGCCAGUCCUGAGUUACAGAAACAGAUUCGACAACUGGAAGGUCAUCUGAGCCUUGGGAGAAAGCUUCUACGCCUGGGUAACUCAGCAGAUGCCCUUGAGUCAGCCAAAAGAACUGUGCACCUAUCAGAUGUUGUCCUGAGAUUCUGCAUCACUGUUAGUCACCUCAAUCGAGCCUUAUACUUCGCCUGUGACAAUGUCCUGUGGGCUGGAAAGUCUGGACUAGCUCCCCGUGUGGAUCAGGAGAAGUGGGUCCAGCGUUCAUUCAGGUACUAUCUGUUUUCCCUUAUCAUGAAUUUGAGUCGUGAUGCUUACGAGAUUCGUCUGUUGAUGGAACAAGAGUCUUCAGCUUGUAGCCGGCGACUGAAGGGUUCUGGAGGAGGAGUCCCAGGAGGAAUUGAAACUGGAGGGCCUGGGGGACCAGGGACUCCAGGAGGAGGCCUACCCCAACUGGCUGUGAAGCUUCGGCUCCAAGUUCUGCUCCUGGUUCGAGUCCUUCGAGGUCAUCCUCCCCUUCUGUUGGAUGUUGUCAGAAAUGCCUGUGAUCUCUUCAUUCCACUGGACAAACUAGGCCUCUGGCGCUGUGGCCCUGGAAUUGUAGGGCUUUGUGGCCUUGUGUCCUCUAUCCUGUCUAUUCUCACUCUAAUCUGUCCCUGGCUACGACUCAAGCCCUGACAUUCUGGUACAGUAUAAGGAGGGGACCUGAACUGGUGAGAUGGAAUCUUAGAUCGUUCCCCAUGUACCAGCCUUAUUCUAAUUGUACUUCUUGGUGAAAGGUAAAAUCCAGAGAUUUAGAGGUUGAGGGAGGAGCUUUGAGGAAGAUGAGGUGAAGAAAGGUGACUUGUGAACCAAUGGGAUGAUUUUGAUACCCAGAUUUGUCUGAGCUUGUGUUCUUUUCCUCUUUCCUUGUCUGUGUCUCUCUUAGCUCUUUUUACUUGGUCUCUCUGAAGUCUAUUUAAGAUUCUGUCUCUAUGCAGCUCUCUUUUCACCUUCUCAGUCCCCUGUCCAGGAAUUUAAUCAGCAGAAUUACUUUUUGUUAAGGGAAGUAUAAGGUUUGGUCUGUAAUAUCCUAACUGCCUUCUUUUUUCUCACAGACAUGACUUGUGGCAGAUUUUUCCUCCUUCAGACUCCAAAUUAUAAUUUUUUUUUUCCUUUUUGUCUUUUUUACUAACCGGUAACAGGAUCACAACCCUCAGUGUCACGC